GUAAAGAGCUCGUAGGUGGUUUGUCGCGUUGUUCGUGAAAACUCACAGCUUAACUGUGGGCGUGCGGGCGAUACGGGCAGACUAGAGUACUGCAGGGGAGACUGGAAUUCCUGGUGUAGCGGUGGAAUGCGCAGAUAUCAGGAGGAACACCGGUGGCGAAGGCGGGUCUCUGGGCAGUAACUGACGCUGAGGAGCGAAAGCGUGGGGAGCGAACAGGAUUAGAUACCCUGGUAGUCCACGCCGUAAACGGUGGGUACUAGGUGUGGGUUCCUUCCUUGGGAUCCGUGCCGUAGCUAACGCAUUAAGUACCCCGCCUGGGGAGUACGGCCGCAAGGCUAAAACUCAAAGGAAUUGACGGGGGCCCGCACAAGCGGCGGAGCAUGUGGAUUAAUUCGAUGCAACGCGAAGAACCUUACCUGGGUUUGACAUGCACAGGACGCCGGCAGAGAUGUCGGUUCCCUUGUGGCCUGUGUGCAGGUGGUGCAUGGCUGUCGUCAGCUCGUGCCGUGAGAUGUUGGGUUAAGUCCCGCAACGAGCGCAACCCUUGUCCUAUGUUGCCAGCGGGUUAUGCCGGGGACUCGUAGGAGACUGCCGGGGUCAACUCGGAGGAAGGUGGGGAUGACGUCAAGUCAUCAUGCCCCUUAUGUCCAGGGCUUCACACAUGCUACAAUGGCCGGUACAAAGGGCUGCGAUGCCGUGAGGUGGAGCGAAUCCUUUCAAAGCCGGUCUCAGUUCGGAUCGGGGUCUGCAACUCGACCCCGUGAAGUCGGAGUCGCUAGUAAUCGCAGAUCAGCA
Molecule: ribosomal RNA, 795 nt
Filed under: uncultured Mycobacterium sp.
Lineage: Bacteria; Bacillati; Actinomycetota; Actinomycetes; Mycobacteriales; Mycobacteriaceae
Description: bacterial SSU rRNA
Rfam family: Bacterial small subunit ribosomal RNA
Source: RNAcentral